CGCUGAAGCGCCGCCGACCCACCUCCGGCAUGAGCCCGGCCGCGCCGCCCAGCAGCGCCUGGCAGAGCAGCAGCGCCAGGAGCGAGCGGGUCACGGCAACCAUGAUCAACCUGCGCGGAGGAGGAGGCGAUGGGAGCCAGUCAGCGCGGACACCGCGCCGGGGAAGGGGGGGGACGGUCCGCAGGUGGGGACCCACCCCGGCGCCGGGCCAUGACCGGCGGAGCCCCCGCCGCGGACCGGCCGGCGAAGUCCCCCGAGGGGCCGCUUCAGAGCGCUAGCACCUCCGCCGUGGCCCACGGAGUCAUCCUGCGGAGAAGGCUUUCAGCGGAUCUGCGACCGCCGGAGCUAUACCUGUGUGCAGCAGCAGGGGUUGUGUCUGCAGGAGGGUGUUCUGCUCUCGGGGUGUUUUUCCCGCAUCACUUGGUGUUACUCCAAACUUCGCUGCUGCUCCUCUACAGCUGCCGAGCAGAAAAUAGAAGUUCCCUGAAGUGCAGUCCGCCUCGGAAACAUACUUUUAGCAGCUGGUUGAGGAGGCAGAAGGCAAGUCCCAGCCAGGGAAAAGCUUCUCCCUUUUAAAAGCAGCGAUCGUGAAGUUGCUUCUUCUUUUUCUUCCUCCUCCUCGCGUGUGUGUGCCUGCCCGUGAAUGGGUCCCUACGUGUCUACGGAGUUAAAAGGCUCCUUUUCAAAAAUGUCCUUUGCAUCACGCUCAUCAGACAGAUGGACAUUUAUCGAGACUCCAGCAGCAACAUCAAGAUGAAGCUUGACUUGUCUCCGCUCCCUUAAAAAAGAAAGGAAAAAGGAGGGAGGAGGGUAAAUAAAAGAGGGAGGAAAAAAAAAAAAAAAAAAAAAAAAAAAAAAAAAGGGGGGAGCCGCCCGCCGCCGUCCCGCGUGGAGCGGCCGCGCUAGGGCACCGCGCCGGGCUCCCCGCCGGCCCCGCACCGCACCAUGGCCGGGGGUGGCCGCCCGCCGCCGCCGCCGGGGCUUUUUGUUGCGCGGCGAUGUCACGACCCCGGAGGCUCGGGGGCCCGCGCCAAUCACAGCCGCCCUGUGGGAGCGGGCUGCGGCCCCGCACGGCUUUUAAAGGAGACGCCGCCUCCCUCCCUCGCUCCUUCCCUCCCUCCUCCCUCGCCCGCUCCCUCCCUCACCGCGGCUGCCGCCCGCGCCCGGGUCGCGGUGCCGCCGGGGAGAGGGAUGGGGCGGGCGGCCGUCCCGUUAAACUGCGGUACCGGCGGCCGAGCCGAUGCGGGAAGACCCCCGGCCCGCCCGGUCCCGCGUCCCGCUCCGGGGAACGGGACCGGGCCGGGUCGAACAAUGACCCAUUGUACAGCCCGAGCGUUCCGCCGCCGCAAAUCGGAUUAGCGCCGUGCCCCGGACUGCCGGGGUGGUAAGGUGCGAAGGUCACGUAAGGUACCGGGAGAAUCCCGGUGCUUUAGAACUACUUAAAAAAAUACAUAUAUGUACUUAUUUCUUUUUCUCCCCCCACCAGAGCGUGGAGCCCGCUGCCCGAGCCAGGGGCGAGGGCUGGAAAUCUGGGGGUUUCCUCGCUCUCCUCUCCGAAAGAGAAGCGCCCGGGCUCGGGAGAAGUCUCCUCCCGCAGCGCUGCCGCGGCGCAUCCGAUGCGGGCUCAGCCCCGUGCGGGCGGCAGAGGGGUUGGGCUGGGUGGUUUUUUUUUAAGAUGUGGCUGCCCUCCAGUGGUGGAACGGCGGCGGAUCGGCCGGCCCGGAACGGCAACCCCGGCUCGAACCGUCCGCCCGCGGCCCCGCACCUGCCCCGGGGCUGAGCCGCGCUCCCCGCGGGCCGGGACCCAGCCUGCCCACGCCGGUGCUCCCGGCUGCGGCCUCCACAGCUCGUGGCAUCGCCCACGGAGUAGGACAGCGGUGGCACGGGUGGAGAAGGCAGGUCCGUGCCCAGCGCGAUUGAGCUCCCAGUCACAACUGUGUCCCUCGAUCCCUUUCCAGACGCUGGCAGCUCUCCUGAUACAACGAGUGACUCGAGAGCAGGGCUGAGUCCUUUGCCCCAUCUCUUGUUUGUCCGCCUGGGCUCUGCGGUAGGGCCGGACCCUAAAUUGCAUAGGUAUGCGAUACCUAGCAAUUUAGGGUCCUCAUCAAAGCCAAAGCCAUCGGCACACCGUCAUUAGCCGGGGUCCUCGUGCCUUCCCGGCAAAGCAAGUGCUCUGGGCUCCACCUCGUCUUCCCUACAUCUCUCAGGGGCUUCAUUUGCAAAAGGCACAGCCAGCCUGUGACACCUUGAAUUACUGCGGAGGAGGACUUAGAGCAAUAACAACUGAGACAGCUCCAUUACCAGCUCCUCCUUUGGGAGCGGCCUUUUCCCUCCAUCUUACGAUUUUCUAGUGUAGGAAGAGCACCGGUUUGAAUCAGGAAUUCAGCACAUUCGGACUGGAAUAAUUCCUCCUAUGGACCUCCUUCCCUUGGCCUCCCUAUCAUGACUCCAGCAGCUCCCGUGAAAGGUCCCUACAGGAUGAGGAGCACACCAGCAAAACAAACCACCCCAGAACUGCACCAGUGUAAUUAAAGAGCUGCUAAAGCUCCUUCAUGCCAACAGCUCCCAACACUCGCUAACCUGAUUUUCACUCGCUGCCGUGCACACGGGGAGAGGGGACACCGAGCAAGGUGAAAUCCCUCAAAAGUUGAGUUAUUUUUCCGUUGCAUUCCAGCACAGAUAAUGUUUAAUUUUAUGACUUCCUGCAAGUCUUUAGCAUGAACUGAAAGUUCGUGCAGUGUGACUUCAGGGUAUGCCAAUUAUGUAAAUAAGCACUAAAAUAACAAUGGCAACGUAGUUUACACAUCACUGACAUUAAAUGAGCACUUCAACUUCUAAUUGCCAUUCCAGUUCAAUCUUAGUGGGUCAUGCCAGGAAAAAGUCAUUUCUUGCCUCAACACUUACUCCCUGUGCCUGGAGCAUAGGCUCUACCGUAUGCCCGGCACAGCCUUAUCUCCAGGAGCUUUCUAUAUUAGGAUAAUGAGCCUUAGAAGGGAGAAACAUGUUUGUGGUUGCUCUAAAAGCCUGCAUACACUCUGAUCUGAUAUCAACAGGGUCUUGUAGGUUUACCCCUCUCCGAUUUUAAGUUUAAAUAAGCUCUCAAAGUCUUCUCUUGGCCUUAUAUAAUACAUAAUAAAACACCUUGCCCUUGUACUUUAUCAUGUCUUAGUCUAUUUUGACCU
This is a long non-coding RNA of Parus major (Great Tit), 3182 nucleotides long. RefSeq lists it as uncharacterized. The record is from RefSeq and is a predicted model, not a curated record. The transcript has 2 exons. NCBI's taxonomy places the organism in Eukaryota, Metazoa, Chordata, Aves, Passeriformes, Paridae.